Non-coding RNA from Aspergillus nanangensis, 144 nucleotides. NCBI's taxonomy places the organism in Eukaryota, Fungi, Ascomycota, Eurotiomycetes, Eurotiales, Aspergillaceae. The record is from the annotation of a GenBank genome assembly.
GCCCGGGUGGUCUAGUGGGUUAGUAGUCCUUUACUCUCCAACUAUCUUCAUAAAUAUACUAAUAAAAUCACAGUAUGAUUCUCGCUUAGGGUUCACCCUUAGCAUAUAUGCGAGAGGUCCCGCGUUCGAUCCGCGGCUCGGGCC